RNAcentral lists this transfer RNA (54 nucleotides) under Petauroides volans (greater glider). RNAcentral describes it as "partial tRNA-Leu". The record is from RNAcentral. Lineage: Eukaryota; Metazoa; Chordata; Mammalia; Diprotodontia; Pseudocheiridae.
GGCUUUCUCACUUUUAAAGGAUAGCAGUAAUCCAUUGGUCUUAGGAACCAAAAA